Molecule: transfer RNA, 76 nt
Filed under: Actinoplanes sp. SE50/110
Lineage: Bacteria; Bacillati; Actinomycetota; Actinomycetes; Micromonosporales; Micromonosporaceae
Description: tRNA-Leu
Rfam family: tRNA
About the family: Transfer RNA (tRNA) molecules are approximately 80 nucleotides in length. Their secondary structure includes four short double-helical elements and three loops (D, anti-codon, and T loops). Further hydrogen bonds mediate the characteristic L-shaped molecular structure. tRNAs have two regions of fundamental functional importance: the anti-codon, which is responsible for specific mRNA codon recognition, and the 3' end, to which the tRNAs corresponding amino acid is attached (by aminoacyl-tRNA synthetases). tRNAs cope with the degeneracy of the genetic code in two manners: having more than one tRNA (with a specific anti-codon) for a particular amino acid; and 'wobble' base-pairing, i.e. permitting non-standard base-pairing at the 3rd anti-codon position.
Source: RNAcentral
GCCCGCGUAGCCCAAUUGGCAGGAGGCACCGCGUUCAGGGCGCGGACAGUGCGCGUUCGAAUCGCGCCGCGGGUAC